This 208-nucleotide long non-coding RNA is filed under the name Elaeis guineensis (African oil palm). RNAcentral describes it as "long non-coding RNA (EGUI_LNC070937)". Lineage: Eukaryota; Viridiplantae; Streptophyta; Magnoliopsida; Arecales; Arecaceae. The record is from RNAcentral.
UGGUGGGGUCAUACUGAUAAAAGUACCAUGUUUCUGUCUGUGGUGAUGAAAAACUAAUAAAAAUAUCAUAUUUUUGUUCGUGGUGAGGUCAUACUGAUAAAAAUACCAUGUUUCUGCUAAUAAUGUGGCCAUACUAAUAUUGUGACUAAUCCAGAAGCCUUGAUUUUAAAUUGUUAUAAAUUAUUUCUUUCACUUUAUUAUUAUUAUU